Molecule: ribosomal RNA, 499 nt
Filed under: uncultured bacterium
Lineage: Bacteria
Description: partial 16S ribosomal RNA
Rfam family: Bacterial small subunit ribosomal RNA
Source: RNAcentral
GAUGAACGCUGGCGGCGUGCCUAAUACAUGCAAGUCGAGCGAACAGACGAGAGUGCUUGCACUCUCUGACGUUAGCGGCGGACGGGUGAGUAACACGUGGGUAACCUACCUAUAAGACUGGGAUAACUUCGGGAAACCGGAGCUAAUACCGGAUAAUAUUUAGCUUCGCAUGAAGCAAUAGUGAAAGACGGUUCUGCUGUCACCUAUAGAUGGACCCGCGGUGUAUUAGCUAGUUGGCGUGGUAACGGCUCACCAAGGCAACGAUACAUAGCCGACCUGAGAGAGUGAUCGGCCACACUGGGACUGAGACAGGGCCCAGACUCCUACGGGAGGCAGCAGUAGGGAAUCGUACGCAAUGGACGAAAGUCUGACGGAGCAAUGCCGCGUGAGUGAAGAAGGUGUUCGGAUCGUAAAACUCUGUUGUAAGGGAAGAACAAGUACGUUAGUAACUGAACGUACCUUGACGGUACCUUACCAGAAAGCCACGGCUAACUACGUG